CUGAGCCAGGCCUACCAAGAUACCAAAUUUCAAUUGUAGCUAUUUAUUUCCAAGUCAAAAGCGUUUGCUUUAAUAGUUGGACAAGAAAUUUGAGCUUGUUGGCUUCCUUAAUUGUUGUCCUACAGGGACAAACAUAACACUAGGAGAAUGCUUUUCACAUCCAUAUAUAAUCAAGCUAAUAAAUUCUUCUUUUGUUGGAUCUGAUUGUCUGAAUGAUACGAACUGAUUCUUUUCAGUGACAGGUGGAAAGCAGAAAAGACAGAUUAUGUUGGCUUAUGAAGAGGUUAAAUCCCAAAAAAUAUUUUGCGCCAAUGGGUGGGGCAGGGGUCGAUUCCGAGUUUCACAGAAGACCGACGAAGUAAGAAUGAAUUACAGUUGUUGCUGUGGCGAGGGUAUUUUGCUAUGAGGAUUGACCACAGUUAGCCAAUGAACUGAACUCCUCAACAGAAGGGUCUUGUUUUUUAAUUAAAAAAAAAACAAAAAUAAAAAGAGGUGUUAUGAAAUGGUUUAAAAUGUGUUCCAUUCAAAUCAUCUCAAACUGAGUCUGCCAGCAGGCUUUUGAGAUAUGCUGCCAAUUUUAUAUAUGUUGUUCUCAAGAGUUGGUAUGCCACGUAGGCAGACAAAAGGAACAAAAAAUCAUAUAAUGAUGCCUUCUUUACCUUCAACUGCACGCCGGGUUUUUGUUCCAUUCUGAUCACUCACUCAUUCAUGUCUUCUUCUUAAUGACUUAAGGCUUCCAUCUCUCUCUCUCUCUCUCUCUCUCUCUCUCUCUCUCUCUCUCUCUCUCUCUCUCUCUCUCUCUCUCUCUCUCUCUUUCUCUCACAUGGUUGACAGCCUUUGCCAAUUGGUCAGAUUCAAAGCUGUGUGAUUGCUGACUACCACCACCACCACCCAUGGCAGCCCAAUACACCUCUUUCUCAUUUCAUCCAUUAAAAGUGAUUGGAGACCAAUGUAAUCAGUGAUGGGGCAAGAAAGAAAAGGUUUUUCUUUUUCAGUUGGAUCAAACAUUCUAAUGUUAGGAAACAAAAUUGUAUUGUUUAGGCCCCUCUUAA
This is a long non-coding RNA of Cannabis sativa, 1052 nucleotides long. RefSeq lists it as uncharacterized. The transcript is spliced from 2 exons. The record is from RefSeq and is a predicted model, not a curated record. NCBI's taxonomy places the organism in Eukaryota, Viridiplantae, Streptophyta, Magnoliopsida, Rosales, Cannabaceae.